AAAGGUUUACCGCCUUGGGAUAGGCUUGCGUCUGAUUAGCUAGUUGGUGUGGUAACGGCACACCAAGGCUACGAUCAGUAACUGGUCUGAGAGGAUGAUCAGUCACACUGGAACUGAGACACGGUCCAGACUCCUACGGGAGGCAGCAGUGAGGAAUAUUGGGCAAUGCUCGAAAGAGUGACCCAGCAACGCCGCGUGGAGGAUGAAGGUAUUCUAUAUCGUAAACUCCUGUGAGAGCAGACGAAAGACAGAUUAUUAAUCUGGAUGACUGUAUGCUCAGAGGAAGCCCCGGCUAACUACGUGCCAGCAGCCGCGGUAAUACGUAGGGGCAAGCGUUGUCCGGAUUCACUGGGUGUAAAGGGCGCGUAGGCGGGAUAGCAAGUCAGUGGUGAAAUCUUGCAGCUCAACUGCAAAACUGCCAUUGAUACUGCUGUUCUUGAAUGUGGAAGAGAGAGGCGGAAUUCCAGGUGUAGUAGUGAAAUACGU
RNAcentral lists this ribosomal RNA (486 nucleotides) under uncultured bacterium. RNAcentral's name for it is "bacterial SSU rRNA". It matches the Rfam family "Bacterial small subunit ribosomal RNA", at positions 202 to 691 of the family's 1533-position model. The record is from RNAcentral.